Molecule: long non-coding RNA, 2262 nt
Organism: Physeter macrocephalus (sperm whale)
Lineage: Eukaryota; Metazoa; Chordata; Mammalia; Artiodactyla; Physeteridae
Exons: 3
Source: RefSeq, a predicted model, not a curated record
GUGUUCCAAAGGGUAUUAUAAUCUCCAUUUUUUAAUAUGGGGCAAUAAAUUCAGAAAGCAUAAGUAACAAUAAGUUUGAAACAUAUAAUUGCUUUCUAUUUUAGCUCCUCACAAAAACUUUUCUAUGUGUUUAGGAGCAAAUGUGUAAUAUCACAUCUAUCAGGAUCACUUUCCCUUCUACACAAAUCAACACAGAAAUUUUUACUUUUCAAUUUUUAAAAUAAGAGUUUUCCCAUUUAAACUAGUGGUUCUCAUUCAGGGGCAGUUUUGUCCCACAGGGACAUCUGUCAAUGUCUGGAAACAUUUUUGGUCAUCACAAUUUAGGGAGGGGCUGCUGGCAUCCAGCUGAUAGAGGCCAGGAAGGCUACCCCCUCUAGUCACAGGAGCCCCACAGCAAAGAAUUACCUAGCCCCAAAUGCCAAUAACGCCAAGGUUGAGAAACCCUGAUUUAAACUGCAAACAAAGUUUUUAGAUGUAAGUUAUUCAGUGUUAGACUCUUUGGUGUGUGCUUGUGUGUAAUUUUAUUUAGAAUUAAUAGGAUUUCUUGAGUAGUAACAUUUCUUUGUUCUCUGCUUUGGUAAUUAAAACAGGGUAAAUCUCAGUUUAAUUCCAGGAGAGCUUGAUUCCCGACUAUUACACUGUUCAAAUUCACCAAAGAGGACAAGGGAGAAGACCAUAUGAAGACGAGGCAAAGACCGGAGUGAUGCUGCCAGAAGCCAAGGAGUACCUGGAGCCCCCAGAAGCAGGAAGAAGCAAGGAAGGAUUCUCCCUCUAGAACCGUCACAGAGAGCACAGCCCCACGGACACUUAUUCUGGACUUCUAGGCUUCCAGAACUGAGAGAGAAUAAACUUCUGUUGUUCUAAGCCACCCAGUUUGUGGUACUUUGUCCCAGUAUUCUUUGGAAAGAAAUAUAACGAUUUUUCUGCAAACAAGAGCUCAAGAGCAUAAACAGUAGUAAAGAAAAAAAGAAUGAAAGGAAGAAAGAAAAUUUAAAACUUGUUGACUAGAGCUUCUAUUCUCCAAAUAUUAAAACAAAGGGCGAACAAGAACACCAAAUCCCAUUGGAAAUCGCUCAAUCAGUAGGGAAAAAAAUUCUAUUAAUUUGUCAUUUAUGUGGUUGUUAUUUUUGUAAUUUAGUAUUAAUGAAAUAUGCUAAAUAUAUGAAGGGCUGCAAAAGACAGGAUAGGUGAUAGAGAAAGGAGCUGUUACAACUCUUCUUUACCAGAAUCAAAACAGCCAGAUAAUAAUUGAAAGAGGUGGAGUAAUUAAAGUAUUUCUCUCAGAGGGAAUCAAGGAAGGCUUCACAGAGGAGGUGACAUCUACGCUGGAUCUUGAAGCAUGAGUAGGAGUUUCCCAGGCAGACACUAAUGUGGAGUCAGGACAGUUGGUAUUUCACAGAAAACACAGCAUGUGCAAAGGUACAGAGAUGGAAAUGUAUGUCACAUACCUGGGAAUGAUAAGUGGUUCCAUGUGGUUGGUCCCUCAAGUGCACGGGUGAUAUCGGUAAGAAAUAAUUUAGGAAAAGUAGGUAGGGACUGGAUUGAGACGGUUUUUUUAUGCUUUACCUUGGCACUUGGCCUUAUUCCUGUGGACAAUGGAAAGCCAUUAAGGAGGGGUAGUGCCAUAAUUAGAUAUAUCAGACUUAUGGCAGACAAGGUAGCAGCCCUUCAACACUGGAACAUUGGAUGAGGUGCUGAAGAUGCUGGGACCAGUAGGGAUCUCGGAAGGAGGUGUUAGGUGUGGCCUUUCCCCUGCGUGGGGACUCCUGCCACCUAUGUUUGAAGACCCUGAAGCACCGCUGGCUGUGGUCAGAGAAGGAGUAAUUAGUUGAUGAUGCCCGUUGAGAAAGGAAUGUCGCUCGCCAUUCCAGUUCUAUAAGGAUCAAGCCAUCAGCCAGUCGCUGCAGUCGCUCAGGAUGACGCCGCACCCUGAGGGGAAUUCAGGGUGGAAAAAAACAGGAAGCGUUCUCUUCUUUGGAUAUACUGGCCUGUGAUAGGAUGCAUCUCUAUGGAAAAAUUUCAAUGACCCCAAGAUUCUUGCUCUUCUCAUACACAGAAAAGCACUAAUAUCAUUAACUUGAGAUGUCUGUUCUUUGUGAUCAGCAGUACUCUCUUGAUAUGCUCAAUUAAAAGUUUGGGGUUUUCUUCCCCUCCAGCGAAAAAUGCAUAGAUAUCCUGGCUCCUUCCUCUCCUCCUGGGAGCAGCUCCUCAGAGCUAUCUGAGAGGCUAUAGUCCUCAGGAAGAUCCCAGAAUAAAACUCAA